Molecule: ribosomal RNA, 471 nt
Filed under: uncultured bacterium
Lineage: Bacteria
Description: bacterial SSU rRNA
Rfam family: Bacterial small subunit ribosomal RNA
Source: RNAcentral
AGGAUGAACGCUGGCGGCGUGCUUAACACAUGCAAGUUGCGCGGUGAUCUCAAGAAGUUUCGGUCGGAAAGGGAGAGCAGCAGCGGACGGGUGAGUAAAGCACAAGGACUUGUCCCGAAGAGGGGGACAACUGUGGGAAACCACAGCUAAUACCCCAUAAGCCGAGAGGUGAAAGCAGCGAUGCGCUUUAGGAGAGACUUGUGUCCUAUCAGGUAGUUGGUGAGGUAACGGCUCACCAAGCCGAAGACGGGUAGCCGGACUGAGAGGUUGUACGGCCACAUUGGAACUGAGAGACGGUCCAGACUCCUACGGGAGGCAGCAGUGGGGAAUAUUGGGCAAUGGGGGCAACCCUGACCCAGCGACGCCGCGUGAGGGAAGACAGCCUUCGGGUUGUAAACCUCUGUUGCAGGGGAAGAAGAAAGUGACGGUACCCUGCGAGGAAGCUCCGGCAAACUACGUGCCAGCCGCCGC